Molecule: ribosomal RNA, 92 nt
Filed under: Prevotella sp.
Lineage: Bacteria; Pseudomonadati; Bacteroidota; Bacteroidia; Bacteroidales; Prevotellaceae
Source: RNAcentral
GUUCCACCUCUUCCCAUUCCGAACAGAGAAGUUAAGCCCGUCUGCGCCGAUGGUACUGCAAUGCAAUGUGGGAGAGUAGGAGGCUGCCGUUU